GGCGUUUCCCGCUUUUGUACAUUACAUUCGGUUGUUUUCGAGCAUGUUAUUUUCCUAAAUGUCCAUGGGAACAGCUGACUAAAGUUUGACAGCUAUCAGUUUUCCAUUUGUAAGACUUACACGGAGGAAGCCGUCCAAUUGUCCUGGAUUGAGCCCUUCCCAGUGUUGAUCGACCCACAAAUUAUCUGCUGAUGAGCACAUCUGAAGUCCUGCAAGAAGGCUCUAUUGACUCACAAUGCCUGACUGAACCUGACUGGUCAUAGAAAGUGAUGAGAAGGCAGAAAGACGAUGCAAAAGAGCUGCUGAAUGAGCCCAUUUUUAGUAUUCAAUAUUAGCAUGAAUCUGUUGUUGUAUUUCUUUAACACAAUCUGAACCUCAUGAGUACCAAUGUAGGAAUAUUUGAUUAGAGCAUGUAAGCCCGUAUGCCGAUGUAGCAAUGACUUUAAGAACACACAAUUAUGCCCUGCUGUCAUUUUGUAGAAAUGUAAAUGCAACACAAGUAAAAGCUUAAAUGCUGCUGGACAUGCACGACACCCUCUAGACGACGUGACCUUGUAGCGCUACAUGUACCAGAGUGAGAGGCGAAUGUUUGGUGACCCACUUUGGAAAGAAAACUUCGCCCUCAGCCUAGAAGAGUCGGACGUCAUCAUGUUUUCAUUGAGCGCUAUAGUUCUGCGACUGUGUGGACUGUGUGUUCCUGAGUCUCGUCCCGAGGUUCUACUGCAAUACGUUACUGAAUAGCAGCGUCUCAGUCUAUUAAUUAGUGAUUCGGGAUCAGGCAAUGAGUGCCUGUUUUUCACGAUUUCAGGAAUUCAUAGAUGAAGCUCUGUUAAAUCAGUUGUCUAUGUUGCUGCGUGUUCUAUGCAUGAUCAUUGUUAGCCUUGACGUUACGACAUCCACAGCCAGUGAAAUGUGCACUUGUAGCCUGCGUAGGGGAGAUUUAAAGCAGCAGCCAUGGAUCCACGCAUAUAACUAAGUUUAGACAACUGUGGCUUAAGACAUGAUGUCAAACAUAACUUCAUUAUCUUUGACUCGUGUUGAAUUAAGUUUAAGGAAAUGUAGUUUAGAGUUUCCAUUGGUUUGUUGAUUCUUAAAUUAUUGUCCUUUUAUAGAAGUGGGGGGAUGUUUGACGUCAAUCUGUUGAUGUAUUCAUUUGUUUUGAGGAAUGAGUGGGAUGAGGGAUGGCAAUGAGUGAA
Molecule: long non-coding RNA, 1196 nt
Organism: Gasterosteus aculeatus aculeatus (three-spined stickleback)
Lineage: Eukaryota; Metazoa; Chordata; Actinopteri; Perciformes; Gasterosteidae
Source: Ensembl